RNAcentral lists this long non-coding RNA (378 nucleotides) under Zonotrichia albicollis (white-throated sparrow). RNAcentral's name for it is "lncRNA (ENSZALG00000011282.1)". Lineage: Eukaryota; Metazoa; Chordata; Aves; Passeriformes; Passerellidae. The record is from RNAcentral.
CAAAGUCCUUGGUUUGGAGAAAGCACUACUUAGCAACAACUAAACACCAGUGUGUUGUCAACAUUAUGCUCACCCUUAAUCCAAAACACAGCCUUGCACCAGCUGCUAGGAAGAAAAUUAACCCUGACUCAGCCAAAAUCCAGACACCAAGAAAGAAAGUUCAAGCAAAUGUAGGCUCAGUGGCAAUGACAGACAUCUUCAAACCGGCAGCUGAAAAGAUCUGAAUCGCUCAGAACCCAGGUAGGAUUCAACAGUGUUUCCCCAGCCAGAAUACUCUUCAGCGUCUGUUUGUCCUCAAGCAUUUGCCCCAAGAACAUUAAUCCCGGUCCAAGCCAGCAACAGGUGAGGAAGGUAGAAAGUCUCUGUCCUGUCUGCUGU